This 438-nucleotide ribosomal RNA is filed under the name Triticum aestivum (bread wheat). Its description in RNAcentral is "partial small subunit ribosomal RNA". The record is from RNAcentral. Lineage: Eukaryota; Viridiplantae; Streptophyta; Magnoliopsida; Poales; Poaceae.
AUGGACCAUUCCAUCCCUUUUUCCCGUGCAUAUGCAUCGGACUCGGAUGACGAUGGUCCCGAUGAACAAGUUGAUGCGGAGGGGUUCACGGUGAAGGAGGCCGAAGCUUUCGAGAAGGUAUUUGGUCGGGAUCAUCGGACUACAUUGUUCAAGGAUGUUAGUCUCGCGGAUGAAGCCGUGGUAGAUGGUGGCCAAUGUGUACCUCUUGGGGUUAGGCCAAGCUCUCACCGUGAUUUGGUAGACGACAAGAACCGGAUUGCUAAAGGUUCUAAGUUCGACACCUUGUUGGAAUUGAAGAUGUGGCUCGACAACUACUCGGUUACGCAUUAUCGUCCACACAAGGUGGUGAAAUCGGACGUCAAUGUGUGCUACACGGUUGCAUGUGCAUGUGAAUAUGAAAUAUGUCCGUGGAUUGUGCGUGCAAGACCAUGGAAAUGA